This 206-nucleotide ribosomal RNA is filed under the name uncultured bacterium. Its description in RNAcentral is "partial 16S ribosomal RNA". It matches the Rfam family "Bacterial small subunit ribosomal RNA", at positions 568 to 774 of the family's 1533-position model. The record is from RNAcentral.
CGCGUAGGCGGUUAUGCGAGUGUGAUGUGAAAGCCCUGGGCUCAACCUAGGAAGUGCAUCGCAAACGGCAUGACUGGAGUAUUGGAGAGGGUAGCGGAAUUUCCGGUGUAGCGGUGAAAUGCGUAGAGAUCGGAAGGAACGUCAAUGGCGAAGGCAGCUACCUGGCCAAAUACUGACGCUGAGGCGCGAAAGCGUGGGAGCAAACA